RNAcentral lists this ribosomal RNA (434 nucleotides) under [Candida] sp. LCF-13. Its description in RNAcentral is "eukaryotic LSU rRNA". It matches the Rfam family "Eukaryotic large subunit ribosomal RNA", at positions 89 to 650 of the family's 3401-position model. Lineage: Eukaryota; Fungi; Ascomycota; Saccharomycetes; Saccharomycetales. The record is from RNAcentral.
GCGAGUGAAGCGGCAAAAGCUCAAAUUUGAAAACCCUCGGGUGUUGUAAUUUGAUGAGGCCGGGUUGGACAGACAACAAGUGCGUUGGAACACGCCGCCACAGAGGGUGACAGCCCCGUAGUCAGUCCACUAAACCCGUCCUCCAAGAGUCGAGUUGUUUGGGAAUGCAGCUCUAACGGGUGGUAAAUUCCAUCUAAAGCUAAAUAUUGGCGAGAGACCGAUAGCGAACAAGUACAGUGAUGGAAAGAUGAAAAGCACUUUGAAAAGAGAGUGAAAAAGUACGUGAAAUUGUUGAAAGGGAAGGGGAAGUAGCGGGAGGCAGGUGAUGGGAGUCGGGGGUCAAAACGGGGUGGAUAUGUAGCUCCUAGAGUGAUAUAGCCCGCCUUGAUAGCCCCACGGCAUCCACCACCUACCACAACCACUACUUCUCGCCC